GUGGGGAAUAUUCCGCAAUGGACGAAAGUCUGACGGAGCAACGCCGCGUGAGUGAUGAAGGUUUUCGGACUGUAAAGCUCUGUUGUUUAGGACGAAAGUGCCUGUUGCAAAUAGUUACAGGUAUUGACGGUACUGAACGAGGAAGCCACGGCUAACUACGUGCCAGCAGCCGCGGUAAUACGUAGGUGGCAAGCGUUGUCCGGAAUUAUUGGGCGUACAGAGCAUGUAGGCGGGAAUCUAAGUCUGUUGUGAAAAUGCGGGGCUCCACCCUGUAUUGCGGUGGAAACUUGGUUUGUUGAGUGCAGGAGAGGAAAGGGGAAUUCCCAGUGUAGCUGUGAAAUGCGUAGAUAUUGGGAGGAACACCAGUGGCGAAGGCGCCUUUCUGGACUGUGUCUGACGCUGAGAUGCGAAAGCCAGGGUAGCGAACGGGAUUAGAUACCCUAGUAGUCC
Molecule: ribosomal RNA, 450 nt
Filed under: uncultured bacterium
Lineage: Bacteria
Description: partial 16S ribosomal RNA
Rfam family: Bacterial small subunit ribosomal RNA
Source: RNAcentral